GAUGAACGCUAGCGGGAGGCCUAACACAUGCGAGCCGAGCGGUAUUGUUUCUUCGGAAAUGAGAGAGCGGCGUACGGGUGCGUAACACGUGUGCAACCUGCCUUUAUCUGGGGGAUAGCCUUUCGAAAGGAAGAUUAAUACUCCAUAAUAUAUUGAACGGCAUCGUUUAAUAUUGAAAGCUCCGGCGGAUAGAGAUGGGCACGCGCAAGAUUAGCUAGUUGGUGAGGUAACGGCUCACCAAGGCGAUGAUCUUUAGGGGGCCUGAGAGGGUGAUCCCCCACACUGGUACUGAGACACGGACCAGACUCCUACGGGAGGCAGCAGUGAGGAAUAUUGGUCAAUGGGUGCAAGCCUGAACCAGCCAUCCCGCGUGAAGGACGACUGCCCUAUGGGUUGUAAACUUCUUUUGUAUAGGGAUAAACCUACCCUCGAGAGGGUAGCUGAAGGUACUAUACGAAUAAGCACCGGCUAACUCCGCG
Molecule: ribosomal RNA, 479 nt
Filed under: uncultured bacterium
Lineage: Bacteria
Description: partial 16S ribosomal RNA
Rfam family: Bacterial small subunit ribosomal RNA
Source: RNAcentral